ACUCCUACGGGAGGCAGCAGUGGGGAAUAUUGGACAAUGGGGGAACCCUAGCAUCCAGCCAUGCCGCGUGUGUGAAGAAGGCCUUCGGGUUGUAAAGCACUUUCAGUGGGGAGGAAAGGUUGUUGGUUAAUACCUAACAGCUGUGACGUUAGCGACAGAAGAAGCACCGGCUAACUCCGUGCCAGCAGCCGCGGUAAUACGGAGGGUGCGAGCGUUAAUCGGAAUUACUGGGCGUAAAGCGCAUGCAGGUGGUUUGUUAAGUCAGAUGUGAAAGCCCGGGGCUCAACCUCGGAAUUGCAUUUGAAACUGGCAGACUAGAGUACUGUAGAGGGGGUA
RNAcentral lists this ribosomal RNA (336 nucleotides) under uncultured bacterium. RNAcentral describes it as "bacterial SSU rRNA". It matches the Rfam family "Bacterial small subunit ribosomal RNA", at positions 335 to 662 of the family's 1533-position model. The record is from RNAcentral.